UAUAUAUAAGUGUAAAAAUUGCACAAAAUUUUUUGAAAAUUUUAGUAUUAUUUUAUUUUAAUAUAUAUAU
RNAcentral lists this transfer RNA (70 nucleotides) under Muscidifurax raptorellus. RNAcentral describes it as "tRNA-Gln". Lineage: Eukaryota; Metazoa; Arthropoda; Insecta; Hymenoptera; Pteromalidae. The record is from RNAcentral.